This is a long non-coding RNA of Sphaerodactylus townsendi, 778 nucleotides long. RefSeq lists it as uncharacterized. Lineage: Eukaryota; Metazoa; Chordata; Lepidosauria; Squamata; Sphaerodactylidae. The transcript is spliced from 2 exons. The record is from RefSeq and is a predicted model, not a curated record.
GACUCCACUUGCUGCCUGCACAGCACGCAUGUGAACAGGAAAAAGGGAAAUAGGUUCCUUUAUAACAACUGCAACCUGUUAUACAUUUGCUGAGCGGAAUCAACCAAAGUUUUCUCUCUCUUUUAGCUUUAGUAUAUAAUUUGUCAGCUGUCCUUGAGUGUAUGUUGCUCUAGAACAUAGGGCCACGAGUUUGACAGCUGUGCUCUAGAACCUCUAACCACUUAGUGACUCCAGUUUUAUUGUGAUGUGUGAACAUGGUCAUUUUUGCUUUUGAGAAUUUCAGUAAUAUAUUCAUGUGGCCUCUGCCUAGAAAACAGAACUGCCCUGAAGAAUACAGAAAUGGGUUAUCCCUGAGAUAAACUGCAAAUACAAUCAUGAUCUGCUUAGUAACCAGAUGUACUUCCCUCCCCUCAAAUACUAUAUAGGAAUUUCCAAGAUAAAGUUAUUGGACAGCAAUUAUUCCGAACUAACAAGGUCAGAGAGCCAUGGCUCGGUGGUGGACAACCUGCCUUGCAUGCAGAAGGUCCCAGGUUCCACCCCCACCAUCCCCAGUUAAAGGGAUCAGGUGAUACAAAACACCUCUACCUCAGAUAGAGAGCUGCCACCAAUCAGAGUAGGUAAUGCUGUCCUUGAUAGACCAGUGGUCUGAUUUAGUAGAAAACAGUUUCAUGAGUUCAUGUAUUUCCCUUACUCUUAAACGUAUUCUGUACAUUACCCUGCCAUAGUCUAUAUUUUCUGUGGGAAAACUUUUUUAAAAUAAACUUCUUUUGGACAAUAA